CCCUACUAAGCUGACUUUGUUUCUUUCCUCAGUUUAAAUUUCCUUUUUUAGUUUAACAGCCUAGCUGAAAUUAUGUAUCACUUUCUUCUUAUUUUAAGUAUUUGUUUUGCAGUUUAUACUUAUUUUGCUAUUAAUUGUGUGUCAUUCAUUAAGAGGUUUUACUUUUGCAACUGAAGGCUGCUUUUGAAAACAAAUGGUACUCAACUAAAACAGAGAUGUCGGCUAUUCCUAAGGAGAACGACUUCAACUGAAGAAAACUCAGUUAAUUAUAAACAGGAGAGCUUCCACCAAGAAUUUCCAUUACCGUUAAUGGUUCCACCACCUUGGACUACUAAAUCAUUAAUAUUUUCAAACAUAAGCCAGUUGCUUUCGUGUCCAUUGUAGUCUGAUGGAUCGGAGGGUGCUUCUAUAGUCCCAUCAAUCUGAACUGUAACUUUGGAUUUGCAUGGACCGCGGAACACAAUUGGCUUAACAAGAUAGGUGUUUUGAGAAGGCACCACUAGUACAAUAGGAACAUUAGAUGAACAAGCCUUCUGCCAUGCCUUCUCAAAUGCCUGCAACAACAACAACAACAACAACAACAGGUCUUUUCAAACUUUGAAACAUUUUGUCAAUAAUGUUAUACUACUUUAGUUUGAACAUAUACAUACCAUCGUGUCAUCUUGGCCCCUUCCUUUUGCUCCAAAAUCAUCAACAUUAAUAACUCCUCGUUUUUGAACUGGCACAGGCCUUGGCUUUGGUUGAGAUCGAGGCUUAGGCUUAGGCUGAGGCUUAGGCUGAGGCGGUUGAGGUUGAGGCUUCAGUUGAGGCUUUGGCUGUGUCUGUGGCUGAGGCUUUCGGUGGUCAAUGGUAUCAGAAUCACAGCUUGGAAUAAUAUCUCUAAAACGAGUGAAUUCGACAUUUUGGCACACAGCUUUGGUAUGGCCUUGGUUUUUAUAGUAUGUGAAGUGAACAUUUUCCAUUUUAAUGUCUUUGCAAGGAAAACUCUCACUGCAGUCCAAUUUAAUAGCUUCUUUCAUUACACUUGUACCCUUAAUGUUUUCAAAAGACACUUCACUAACUUGAACUGCC
Cannabis sativa is the source of this 1071-nucleotide long non-coding RNA. RefSeq lists it as uncharacterized. NCBI's taxonomy places the organism in Eukaryota, Viridiplantae, Streptophyta, Magnoliopsida, Rosales, Cannabaceae. The record is from RefSeq and is a predicted model, not a curated record. The transcript has 2 exons.